GUAAACAUCACGUCUGCCCCCAACGAGUCUCCCUCCUUCCCUCCCCUUGCAAAUUCCUCUUGCAAACGUAACCUGUGCCGGAGCGAGUGGAAAAAGGAGUUUAUUGCCUCCCCGAGUAACUGGGUUGCGAUCACGGGCAAAAUUUGCUGCUCUAGGGAUGGGGAAGUGGAUGAUUCCUAUUCCUCUCUGGGUAAAAUAAGUAAAGACAGACAGAUAGAUAGACAUAUAGACAGACAGACAGAUAGAUUGAUGAAAAGCCUGAUUUUUUUCAAGGCGCUGAACUAUGAUGUUGGAUAGUGAGACCAUCUGAGAUGUCUUACCCCCAGCUCUGUGCUGUUCAGCCACUCAUGGGAAGGAGAUAAGGGGUCUGAAAUAUCUAAAUGGACACUAAAAGGCAUGGGCAGGAUUAAGGGCUGAAGGUUUCCAGUGUGCUCGUGGAGGGGAGGGAAGCAAAGAGUUUCCAGAGAUGAAAAGACAGAGCAAUACCCCGAGCUGAGAAGUAUGUCUGGAUGCUCCUGGGUGUGCUGCCUUCCCCUCCAAUGGAUGCAACAAACUCAAAUCCAAGUGGGCAUUAAAGGAAAACAGCCCAUGGCAAUGAAAUCCUGCCUCCCUCAUUGUCCACCAGAGUUUUGUCUUGGACUUCAAGGGAGAUGGGAACUCGCCCUCAGAGGUUAUUAAAAUCCUUUGUAAUAACAGCGCUUCUCCAGUAACCCUUUACAGCAGGCAUACGCUGGGGUUGCUAUAGCAGACAGAAUGGGAAAACGCAUUUCAGAUGGCAGAGCAAACACCCAGGAAUAUUCCUUCUCCCCUCCACUAUUGCUUCCUUAAUUGGGGCACCAAGGCAAAAAGCUCUGGUAGGGACAAAUCCAGAGCUGGGGCUCAGGUGAGACAUAUUUGCCCCAAGUUAACAAUCAGCAUUGGGGACCCCCUUUGGGGGGUUCAGAUCAGAUAUAAAGAAACAUUUCUACUUAGAAAGAGUGGCAAUGCAUUGGCACAGGCUGCACAGGGAGGUGUUGGAGUCAUCAUCCCUGGAGGUGUUCAAGAACCAUGGAGAUGUGGCACUUGGGGACAUGGUCAGUGGGCAUGGUGGGAUGGGCUGGGGUUGGACUUGAUGAUCUUAGAGUUCUUUUCCAACUUUAACUCACCUGUGACUUGGGGAUGUCAGUGAGUACUUUUCAGGAGGCAGGCUUUUCUGCUUGUUUUGUCGUUGGCUUUCUUGUGGGGUGGGCUUCCCAUUGGAAACCACCGCAAAGACCACAUGAACAGCCCGGAGCGGUGUCUGAAGUGGAGAACUGAAGGGAAACCCAUUUACUGCAAUUAAUAUCGCUGCUAAAACAAGUCAUGCCCCGGAGAUAGAGAGGACCCUUGUAAGAAUUUGAGUUUGUUUGUUGCUUUGUUUAUUUGUAUGGAGCGAAGAAGAAAAUGGAGGGGAUGGGAGAAUCUCUGAGAGCCUUUUUUCCCUCCGGGCUGCUCUACAGUGAUGGGGCUGUGUGUUUAUAAAGCCGCUCCGUGAGCUCCAGGUGCCCGAGGACUUGGAAGAAGUGAGAGGCAGAGUUAAUGAGGUGAGAAGGAAAGCAGAAGGGAAAGAGCAGAACGCAUUUGUUGCAACAGAUCAGCCUGAAACAUCUGCAGGGCACGGGCACCUGCGUUGGUAGGGAAAUGUAGGUUUUUAGUUCGUAAAAGGGAAAAAAAAAAAAAACUCUGGAGAAAAGGAAGGGAGAGAUGGAGAGUGAGAUUUGGGCACGUCUUAAGAUUUAUCUUCUUUUUAUUUUUUCCCCUUCUUCCCAAAACCUUAUAGAGAGGGGGAAAUAAAGCGAAGCAGCGAACGCAGCCUUGCCGCACGCAGGGUUAAAUGGAAACACACAAUCAGACCAUAACUCAGGGUGUAAUUCAAGCCAUACGUUUUGUCUGUCUGUUGCCUCGAAAGGUUGUAUCAAGGCUUGGCGAGGGAGGGGAUAAUCCAAACUUCGUCGUGAUUCAUAAACCACUCCUUGGCGAUUUGGAUCAUAGAUCUCUUUCACGGCGACUCGCCCAACCUCAGAGCUAACCGUGGCUCCAUGCUCU
RNAcentral lists this long non-coding RNA (2064 nucleotides) under Gallus gallus (chicken). Lineage: Eukaryota; Metazoa; Chordata; Aves; Galliformes; Phasianidae. The record is from RNAcentral.